This is a long non-coding RNA of Felis catus (domestic cat), 400 nucleotides long. RefSeq lists it as uncharacterized. The transcript has 2 exons. The record is from RefSeq and is a predicted model, not a curated record. NCBI's taxonomy places the organism in Eukaryota, Metazoa, Chordata, Mammalia, Carnivora, Felidae.
CGAUGCAGCCAAGAGGUGGCUGCCGCGUCCAGUCCAUGGCGCUGGACUCCAGGCCAGGGGAGGGGGGGCAGCCAAGAAGCCCCAGGCAGAGGCUCGACUUCCUGGACAAGGGACGGGCUGGACCGUGGCCCAGCAGGAAGCAGCUUGGACUCUGAAAAUCUGAGUGAGCUCAGAGGAGACUUCCCCGGGGCCAGCAUGAACCAAAGGCCUUGGACUAGGUCCGCAUGAUCCAGGGAAAGAAGGUUGGUUGGAUGUAAGCCACCCCCUCGAGGGAGCCUACCCACGACUAAGACUAACACCAGUACCCAGAACACAGAGCCAGGAUACAGGCCAGGUGGAUCCCAGCUGAUGUUCGGUACCCUGGACUUUUCAGUUACAGAAAUUAAUCUUGAUUUCUGGA